GAUGAACGCUGGCGGCGUGCCUAAUACAUGCAACUCGAGCGAACAGACGAGGAGCUUGCUCCUCUGACGUUAGCGGCGGACGGGUGAGUAACACGUGGAUAACCUACCUAUAAGACUGGGAUAACUUCGGGAAACCGGAGCUAAUACCGGAUAAUAUAUUGAACCGCAUGGUUCAAUAGUGAAAGACGGUUUUGCUGUCACUUAUAGAUGGAUCCGCGCCGCAUUAGCUAGUUGGUAAGGUAACGGCUUACCAAGGCAACGAUGCGUAGCCGACCUGAGAGGGUGAUCGGCCACACUGGAACUUAGGCACGGUCCAGACUCCUACGGGAAGCAGGAGGAGGGAAUCUUUCGCAAUGGGCGAAAGCCUGACGGAGCAACGCCGCGUGAGUGAUGAAGGUCUUCGGAUCGGAAAACUCUGUUAUUAGGGAAGAACAAAUGUGUAAGUAACUAUGCACGUCUUGACGGUACCUAAUCAGAAAGCCACGGCUAACUACGUG
Molecule: ribosomal RNA, 497 nt
Filed under: uncultured bacterium
Lineage: Bacteria
Description: partial 16S ribosomal RNA
Rfam family: Bacterial small subunit ribosomal RNA
Source: RNAcentral